This 200-nucleotide ribosomal RNA is filed under the name uncultured prokaryote. Its description in RNAcentral is "partial 16S ribosomal RNA". It matches the Rfam family "Bacterial small subunit ribosomal RNA", at positions 1181 to 1382 of the family's 1533-position model. The record is from RNAcentral.
GACGUCAAGUCCUCAUGGCCCUUACAUCCUGGGCCACACACGUGCUACAAUGGGGCGCACAGAGGGAAGCGAAAUCGCGAGAUGGAGCGGAUCCCCAAAGCGCCCCCAGUUCGGAUAGGAGUCUGCAACCCGACUCCUUGAAGCCGGAAUCGCUAGUAAUCGCGGAUCAGCAUGCCGCGGUGAAUACGUUCCCGGGCCUU